GGGGUAUGAUUGGAAAUCGCAUUCGCAAUGCGAAGGUCGGGAGUUCGAUCCUCCUCCGCGCCA
This 63-nucleotide transfer RNA is filed under the name Paraburkholderia caribensis. Its description in RNAcentral is "Pseudo tRNA". Lineage: Bacteria; Pseudomonadati; Pseudomonadota; Betaproteobacteria; Burkholderiales; Burkholderiaceae. The record is from RNAcentral.